This 657-nucleotide ribosomal RNA is filed under the name uncultured eukaryote. RNAcentral's name for it is "SSU rRNA". It matches the Rfam family "Eukaryotic small subunit ribosomal RNA", at positions 431 to 1094 of the family's 1831-position model. The record is from RNAcentral.
GGCGCGCAAUUACCCAAUCCCGACACGGGGAGGUAGUGACAAUAAAUACUGAUACAGGGCUCUUUUGGGUCUUGUAAUUGGAAUGAGUACAAUUUAAAUCCCUUAACGAGGAACAAUUGGAGGGCAAGUCUGGUGCCAGCAGCCGCGGUAAUUCCAGCUCCAAUAGCGUAUAUUAAAGUUGUUGUGGUUAAAAAGCUCGUAGUUGAACCUUGGGCCUGGCUGGCCGGUCCGCCUCACCGCGUGUACUGGUCCGGCCGGGCCUUUCCCUCUGUGGAACCCCAUGCCCUUCACUGGGUGUGGCGGGGAAACAGGACUUUUACUUUGAAAAAAUUAGAGUGCUCCAGGCAGGCCUAUGCUCGAAUACAUUAGCAUGGAAUAAUAGAAUAGGACGUGUGGUUCUAUUUUGUUGGUUUCUAGGACCGCCGUAAUGAUUAAUAGGGACAGUCGGGGGCAUCAGUAUUCAAUUGUCAGAGGUGAAAUUCUUGGAUUUAUUGAAGACUAACUACUGCGAAAGCAUUUGCCAAGGAUGUUUUCAUUAAUCAGGAACGAAAGUUAGGGGAUCGAAGACGAUCAGAUACCGUCGUAGUCUUAACCAUAAACUAUGCCGACUAGGGAUCGGACGAUGUUAUUUUUUUGACUCGUUCGGCACCUUACGAG